CCUACGGGAGGCAGCAGUGGGGAAUAUUGGACAAUGGGCGAAAGCCUGAUCCAGCCAUGCCGCGUGUGUGAAGAAGGCCUUCGGGUUGUAAAGCACUUUCAGUGGGGAAGAAAGCCUUGGGGCUAAUACCCUCGAGGAAGGACAUCACCCACAGAAGAAGCACCGGCUAACUCCGUGCCAGCAGCCGCGGUAAUACGGAGGGUGCGAGCGUUAAUCGGAAUUACUGGGGCGUAAAGCGCGCGUAGGCGGUCUGAUAAGCCGGUUGUGAAAGCCCCGGGCUCAACCUGGGAACGGCAUCCGGAAAUGUCAGGCUAGAGUGCAGGAGAGGAAGGUAGAAUUCCCGGUGUAGCGGUGAAAUGCGAAGAGAUCGGGAGGAAUACCAGUGGCGAAGGCGGCCUUCUGGACUGACACUGACGCUGAGGUGCGAAAGAGUGGGUAGCAAACAGGAUUAGAUACCCUGGUAGUC
RNAcentral lists this ribosomal RNA (466 nucleotides) under Vreelandella stevensii. Its description in RNAcentral is "partial 16S ribosomal RNA". It matches the Rfam family "Bacterial small subunit ribosomal RNA", at positions 338 to 795 of the family's 1533-position model. The record is from RNAcentral. Lineage: Bacteria; Pseudomonadati; Pseudomonadota; Gammaproteobacteria; Oceanospirillales; Halomonadaceae.